Molecule: long non-coding RNA, 311 nt
Filed under: Dermacentor andersoni
Lineage: Eukaryota; Metazoa; Arthropoda; Arachnida; Ixodida; Ixodidae
Description: uncharacterized LOC126518966
Source: RNAcentral
GGCCAUCCGGCAAGCCGAAGGUGCCGCUCGAGUUCAAGGACUUCGAGCCGCCACCUGAGGCCACCACAACAAAAACUGCCGGACCAUUCUCUAUUAAAGUUUCUUCUUCAUCCUUCGUAGGAUUGCUGUUGCAUAUAUUGCCCGACACCAAACCGAAGAAGUUGUCGAUCACUUUGGACUUUUCUCAAACAGGGUGUUGUCCGGUGAUUGAAUUUCUCUUCACACAAGGACAGAUUGUGAAGGAGAUAUUGUAAACUAUCAGCAGCAGUAGAGAACGAGGCACAAAGAAUAAAGGAAAUUGAUGGACCCAA